Molecule: transfer RNA, 60 nt
Filed under: Pietromodeona januaeargenti
Lineage: Eukaryota; Metazoa; Annelida; Clitellata; Crassiclitellata; Lumbricidae
Description: tRNA-Leu
Source: RNAcentral
GUAUGUUGGCAGAAUAGUGCCACCGACUUAGAAUCGGUUCAUGGGUAACUCCACCUACUA